GUGCUAGCUUCGGCAGCACAUAUACUAAAAUUGGAACAAUACAGAGAAGAUUAGCAUGGCCCAUGCACAAGGAUGACAUGCUAUUAAGUGAAGUGCAUACUUUCUAG
Small nuclear RNA from Ailuropoda melanoleuca (giant panda), 107 nucleotides. NCBI's taxonomy places the organism in Eukaryota, Metazoa, Chordata, Mammalia, Carnivora, Ursidae. The record is from Ensembl.